UCUAUAAAACUUCCCCUUGAGUUUCUGUGGCAUUUUCUUCUCACACAGGACUCCUGAUGCAAGCCUCCACUUCGACCACCUCGCUCCUAUACGAUGAGUGAUAUCCCCGUCUAUCUCUCCGUCCCCUUGAAUCACCGACCCAAGAUAUCUGAAGCUAUCCCUCUUGGCGAUAACCUGAGAUCUAAUCUUCACGUCCCUGCUUACUUCACUCGGCUCAGCGCUAAACUUGCACUCCAUGUAUUCUGUCUUAGACCUGCUUUAUUUGAACCCUUAGACUCAAGAGUCUGUUUCCAUACCUCUAGCCUUUCGUUAACACCGACCCUCGUCUCGUCUAUCAAGAUUAUGUCAUCAGCAAAUAGCAUACACCAAGGCNNNNNNNNNNNNNNNNNNNNNNNNNNNNNNNNNNNNNNNNNNNNNNNNNNNNNNNNNNNNNNNNNNNNNNNNNNNNNNNNNNNNNNNNNNNNNNNNNNNNNNNAUAUAGCAAAUAGCAUACCCCAAGGCACAUCCCCUUGAAUAUGUCGGCAUAGAGCACCCAUCACCAAGGUAAUCAAGAGAGGGCUAAGCGCCGAUCCUUGAUGGAGCCCCAUAAUCACCGGAAAAUGGUCUGGAGUCGCCACCCACCGUCCUAACCCUAGUCUUAGCUCCAUCGUACAUGUCCUUGAUUACUCUGAUGUAGGCUUCCGGCAUGCUCUUCGCUUCCAGGCACCUCCAUAGCACCUCCCUAGGGACCUUGUCGUACGCUUUAUCCAAGUCGAUAAACACCAUGUGCAGGUCCUUCUUCUUAUCCCAUUCAGUCUAACCUUGAUGAUAAAUAUUUCCACGCAAUUAAGAUACAACAGAGGGUCUCCCGUAAACAGCCUCUCUAUCCCUUCGGGGUAGGGGUAAGGUCUGGGUACAUCCUACCCUCCCAGACCCCACUAGUGGGAUUCUAGUGGGUUGUUGUUGUUGUUGUCAGGUACAACAGAGGAAGGGAAAUGCAUUUAGUUUUUUUGCCAACCCUUAUCCAACACUACUUAGAUAAGAUAGCAAUCCUGAUGACUCACCCCAUGCUAGAAAUUUUGUUUUAUUUUUUUACUUCAUUUUUUAAUUGGAGGCACUUAGCUUUAAAAGUAACCCUUUAUAAUAUCAAUAAGCUACAAGAAAUGUACAACACAAGAGCAUCCUGAAUUUCAAAUUUAAAAGAAUAUGUUAAAAUUUGGCAACUAAAAAACUCUCUACACUCUUAGAAACCAUACACUUGGUCAAAAUGGAAAUGCAAAAUAGAAAUCUAUAAUGCAAACAUAAUGUAAUAUAAUUCACAGUAUAAACUCAACAUGUGAAAAUGAAACUUCUUACAACUCAAGAGAAAUCUUACUAAGGGAACCAGCAAUUUCCCCAAGAAAUCUUAUUUUUUAAUAACUAGGAAAUCUCCGUGUGCCAAUGGCGCACAGUGAAUGAUGGGUCUUCCCCUCUACUCUUCUCCUAUUAAAAAAUGAAUUUUUACAAAAGCACCCAACCGAUACAAAAGAUUCACACGUAGCACCCAAAUUAAAAUGCAUUUUUCACCUGUGCCCCAUAAAAUAUUUAGGAUAAAUACCCAAACUAUGAUAUCCCUGUUUUGCACCCAUCACCGUUGCUCCUCCACCUUCUCUUGUUUUCUCUACAAUCGUAAAUCUAGACUUUGACUCCAUUACACGACUACUACUUAGCUUUCAAUUGGGAUAGAGGAUGAAGCUCUUCUUCCUUUUUCCUUCUCCUUCUCAUUUCUACUUAACACUCUGAUCAGAUGUCUAUGUAGAAGCAUGUAAAUCUAUACGAAAUAGAUAUCUCAUGAAACUCAAACAAAGAACUCAUAAGUUCUUCGUGUAGCGGAAGACUCGAAGGAACCGCCGCUAGAAUCACUGGUCGAUGGCAGUUGUCACAUUCUGACGGAGCAACCUCUUAUAUCAUAGUCUAAACCCUAAUGAUUUUGCGGACGAGAGAGAAGAGAGAGAGUGUGGAGUGAAAGUUUUAUCUCCCAUAUACUUUAAUCGUGCAUUGUAAGUGUAGUUAUAUAGGUGAAAUUGGGACUUACAUUAUUACCAAUAUUACUUAAUUUAUCCUAGUGCGCUUUUAGAACAGUCCUUAUCGG
This 2110-nucleotide long non-coding RNA is filed under the name Nicotiana benthamiana. RNAcentral's name for it is "long non-coding RNA (NBEN_LNC017189)". Lineage: Eukaryota; Viridiplantae; Streptophyta; Magnoliopsida; Solanales; Solanaceae. The record is from RNAcentral.